CACGCAGGCGGUUUGUUAAGCUAGAUGUGAAAGCCCCGGGCUCAACCUGGGAUGGUCAUUUAGAACUGGCAGACUAGAGUUUUGGAGAGGGGAGUGGAAUUCCAGGUGUAGCGGUGAAAUGCGUAGAUAUCUGGAGGAACAUCAGUGGCGAAGGCGACUCUCUGGCCAAAGACUGACGCUCAUGUGCGAAAGUGUGGGUAGCGAACA
This 207-nucleotide ribosomal RNA is filed under the name uncultured bacterium. RNAcentral's name for it is "partial 16S ribosomal RNA". It matches the Rfam family "Bacterial small subunit ribosomal RNA", at positions 568 to 774 of the family's 1533-position model. The record is from RNAcentral.